This 417-nucleotide unclassified non-coding RNA is filed under the name Hevea brasiliensis (rubber tree). The record is from RNAcentral. Lineage: Eukaryota; Viridiplantae; Streptophyta; Magnoliopsida; Malpighiales; Euphorbiaceae.
GGCGGAGGCGGAGGAGGAGGAGGAGCUGAAGCUUUUGAUGUCACUUGUAAUUGGUUGUUUGGUGAUUUGAGCCUGGACAUAUCUGGUGGUGGAGGUGGUUGUGAGAAUUUCACCCUUUGUGGUACAUAAGUUAGUGUUGGCUUCUUAUGUUGCUGCAAUUGUGAUGGUGGUGGAGGAGAUCGUGGUGAAGUUUGCUUAACUGAUGGUACAAUUAUGGCGCGUUUUAUAUCAGGGGAUGAACACGAAAGAGACAAUCUAGGAGAUGUUCUCUUUGAAUGAGGAAUCGAGUUAUUUGAUCUCGUCAUUAUACUAGUACUACUAGCACUAGUGAUAUUAUAUGGCUUGUAAAUUUUGGUUUCAUCGUCGUCUUCAGAUGAAUUUAUUAUUGCAGGAGGAUUGAAAAAUGUAGGGUUAUUU